Small nuclear RNA from Nyctereutes procyonoides (raccoon dog), 107 nucleotides. Lineage: Eukaryota; Metazoa; Chordata; Mammalia; Carnivora; Canidae. The record is from RefSeq and is a predicted model, not a curated record.
GUGCUCACUUUGGCAGUACAUAGACUAAAAUUAGAAUGAUACAGAGAAGAUAAGCACGGCCCCUGCUCAAGGAUGGCAUGUAAAUUUGUGAGGCAUUCCAUAUUUAG